GCGGGAUUUAGGUCCCAGUAAGCGUACAACGUCUCCCAACUCUGGGAGUCCUCGCUACAUCCCGGUCUCCACCUUAGUGUCGUCGCAGCCACUUGUCCAAACCCCGACAGUCAAACGGGCUUGUGCUGGAAAGCAAUCGCCUCCACUUCCACACUAGAACACACACAAGAGGCACGGGAACAAAAUCGAUACCCCUGAAGGCCCGGCGCUGUGGCUCAAGCCUCUAAUCCCAACACUUUGGCAGCCCAAGGUGGGUGGAUCACUGGAGUUCAGGAGUUCAAGACCAGUCUGGCCAAUAUGAUGAAACCUCGUCUCUACUAAAAAUAUAAAAAAUUAGACGGGCGUGGUGGCGGACACCUGUAAUUCCAGCUACUCGGAAGGCUGAGGCAAGAGAAUUGUUCCAACCCGGGAGGUGGAGGUUGCAUUGAGCCAAGAUCGCACCACUGCACUCCAGCCUGGGAGACAGAGCGAGACUCCGUCUCAAAAAAAAAAAAAAAAAUUAGCUGUGCUUGGUAGCGCGCGCCUGUAAUCCCAGCACUCCGGGACGCCGAGGUGGUUGGAUCACCUGAGGUCAGGAGUUCAAGACCAG
This 589-nucleotide long non-coding RNA is filed under the name Homo sapiens (human). RNAcentral describes it as "HSALNT0391710". The record is from RNAcentral. Lineage: Eukaryota; Metazoa; Chordata; Mammalia; Primates; Hominidae.